AGAACGAACGCUGGCGGCAGGCUUAACACAUGCAAGUCGGGCGCCCCGCAAGGGGAGCGGCAGACGGGUGAGUAACGCGUGGGAACAUACCCUCCGGUUCGGAAUAGCUCAGGGAAACUUGGAUUAAUACCGGAUACGGCCUAGCGGCGAAAGAUUCAUCGCCGGAGGAUUGGCCCGCGUUCGAUUAGCUAGUUGGUGAGGUAACGGCUCACCAAGGCGACGAUCGAUAGCUGGUCUGAGAGGAUGAUCAGCCACAUUGGGACUGAGACACGGCCCAAACUCCUACGGGAGGCAGCAGUGGGGAAUAUUGGACAAUGGGCGCAAGCCUGAUCCAGCCAUGCCGCGUGAGUGAUGACGGCCUUAGGGUUGUAAACCUCUUUUAGUAGGGAAGAAGCCGCAAGGUGACGGUACCUGCAGAAAAGCACCGGCUAACUACGUGCCAGCAGCCGC
This 450-nucleotide ribosomal RNA is filed under the name uncultured bacterium. RNAcentral's name for it is "SSU rRNA". It matches the Rfam family "Bacterial small subunit ribosomal RNA", at positions 26 to 518 of the family's 1533-position model. The record is from RNAcentral.